Molecule: long non-coding RNA, 1558 nt
Organism: Mya arenaria
Lineage: Eukaryota; Metazoa; Mollusca; Bivalvia; Myida; Myidae
Exons: 2
Source: RefSeq, a predicted model, not a curated record
AAAAUGAAGCCAUGCUACAAUAAUUAAUAGGUCCACAGUACGUGUUUGGCUACUGUGAAUGUCUAUGUUUCCAUUUUAUUAUUGAUGACGUUUUACAAGUGUUACAAGCAGGUAGUUCACAUUAUACACGAACUUGCAUUUUUUAUGCAGAGCCCUUCUCCUUAAUAAGAUUUGUCGAUAUAUGACGAAUGAGUUUAAUACCUCAAAGACUUUUGGAGUCAUGCUGCGGACACGAACAAGUAUAACAAAAAGUAAAAUUGGAGAUAAAUAUGGGAGGUAUGAUAACCUCUUGCCCAAUGGACUUCCUCUUAUUAAUAUAAGUCCAUAUUCCAAGUUUCAUUUAUAUUCCUUCAGUUCUUUACGAAUAAUGGUCUGGAGAAGCUGUUUAAUACAUACUGUAAAAAGAAAGGGAGAGGUAAUUUAGCUAUGAUAGAAGGUAGGAGUAUGGUUCUUGCGCACUAUAUUUGAGCAUAUUGCACUCUGUUUAUGCCUCAAGUUUUGUUGAAAUCCCAUAAGUUGUUCGGGGACAAUAAUAAACCAGUGAACACGAGCACAUUAACGCUAUUAAAGAUAGAUUACACUCAUCAAUUUACCAGAUCGCUUCCGAGCGUUCAUAAGCUCAAAAAGUUUUGAUCUGGCAUGCCAUCCGUACUUUUGGCACUUUGAUUUUGCUUGAUGAAUUAUGUUCAUAAGGAUUUUUUUUAACGAAAUAAUUUCUCUGUCUUUUCAGAUAUUUGCAUAUAAUGGAUGGAUUCAUAUAACCACUAUUCACUUUAUCCAGUGUGUAUCUAAUUGAUGUCAUGAGUAAGAGGCGUGACGAGCUAUUAAAGUUUCUUCUAUAGCGUUAAAUUUUGAUAAACGAAAAGGACUGUGUUAUUCUGUAUAACAAAUAAAUUAAAGCUGCGUUUAAAGUCUAUAUUUUCGCUGUGCAAUGGCUUUAUAAAUGAUACUAAGGACAGUGAUAAUAAUAGUUUAAGACAAAAGACAAACUUGCAAAAUGAAUCAAAGUUAUAUGUGCUUUGUGUUUUUGCAUCUAAUUUUCAUAUCAACAUGCGGUUGUGAGAAGCCUGAUGGCAAUGUCAUGGCAAUCGGGAUUAACAAUGGAAAGGUAAAUUUAAAAGAAGAGAAAAGUGAAAUUAAUUGUCGAUUAGUGGAAACAUUUGGUGUUUUUAACAUCUGAUAUUUGCAUAUAACGGAUGGAUUCAUAUAACCACUAUUCACUUUAUCCAGUGUGUAUCUAAUUGAUGUCAUGAGUAAGAGGCGUGACGAGCUAUUAAAGUUUCUUCUAUAGCGUUAAAUUUUGAUAAACGAAAAGGACUGUGUUAUUCUGUAUAACAAAUAAAUUAAAGCUGCGUUUAAAGUCUAUAUUUUCGCUGUGCAAUGGCUUUAUAAAUGAUACUAAGGACAGUGAUAAUAAUAGUUUAAGACAAAAGACAAACUUGCAAAAUGAAUCAAAGUUAUAUGUGCUUUGUGUUUUUGCAUCUAAUUUUCGUAUCAACAUGCGGUUGUGAGAAGCCUGAUGGCAAUGUCAUGGCAAUCGGGAUUAACAAUGGAAAGG